RNAcentral lists this non-coding RNA (20 nucleotides) under Arabidopsis thaliana (thale cress). The record is from RNAcentral. RNAcentral also lists the same sequence under 3 other names. Lineage: Eukaryota; Viridiplantae; Streptophyta; Magnoliopsida; Brassicales; Brassicaceae.
AAUAACAGGUCUGUGAUGCC